UCGGGCCAUUGCGGACGCCCGGUCAGGCGAUUCCGCCCAAGCGCCGC
Regulatory RNA element from Brevundimonas sp. Leaf363, 47 nucleotides. It matches the Rfam family "chrB-b RNA". Lineage: Bacteria; Pseudomonadati; Pseudomonadota; Alphaproteobacteria; Caulobacterales; Caulobacteraceae. The record is from Rfam.